RNAcentral lists this microRNA precursor (196 nucleotides) under Oryza nivara. RNAcentral's name for it is "MIR812 microRNA precursor family". It matches the Rfam family "MIR812 microRNA precursor family". Lineage: Eukaryota; Viridiplantae; Streptophyta; Magnoliopsida; Poales; Poaceae. The record is from Rfam by way of RNAcentral.
AAAAAAACAAAUCCUGAGUUUCCGUGUUCAAUUUUAACUGUCCGUCUUAUAUGAAUAAUUUGUAUUUUUAUUAUUGUUAGAUGAUAAAAUAUAAUUAAUAUUUUAUGUUUGACUUGUCUUUUUAAUUUUUUCAUAAUUUUUUCAAAUAAGAUGGACGGUCAAACGUUGGACACGGAAACCAAGGUUUGUCUUUUUU